This 465-nucleotide ribosomal RNA is filed under the name uncultured bacterium. Its description in RNAcentral is "partial 16S ribosomal RNA". It matches the Rfam family "Bacterial small subunit ribosomal RNA", at positions 28 to 507 of the family's 1533-position model. The record is from RNAcentral.
GACGAACGCUGGCGGCGUGCUUAACACAUGCAAGUCGAACGCUGAACCCGCUUCGGUGGGGGAUGAGUGGCGAACGGGUGAGUAACACGUGGGCAACCUGCCCCCGGCUCUGGGAUAACUCCAAGAAAUUGGGGCUAAUACCGGAUGUGACCGCUGGCCGCAUGGUCUGGUGGUGGAAAGGGUUUCCGGCUGGGGAUGGGCCCGCGGCCUAUCAGCUUGUUGGUGGGGUAGUGGCCUACCAAGGCGCGGACGGGUAGCCGGCCUGAGAGGGUGACCGGCCACACUGGGACUGAGACACGGCCCAGACUCCUACGGGAGGCAGCAGUGGGGAAUAUUGCGCAAUGGGCGGAAGCCUGACGCAGCGACGCCGCGUGGGGGAUGACGGCCUUCGGGUUGUAAACCUCUUUCAGCAGGGACGAAGCGCAAGUGACGGUACCUGCAGAAGAAGCACCGGCCAACUACGUG